This 7566-nucleotide long non-coding RNA is filed under the name Sus scrofa (pig). Its description in RNAcentral is "lncRNA (ENSSSCG00035035136.1, ENSSSCG00175021230.1)". Lineage: Eukaryota; Metazoa; Chordata; Mammalia; Artiodactyla; Suidae. The record is from RNAcentral.
GUGAUUUAAGGGACAUAACUAUCCUGCCAAGAUUUCAUUACUCUAGGACCAUUUCUUGGUAUACAUACUGGCUUAGGAAACUUGUGGAAACUCUUUUCCACAUUCUCCAUACACCCCUUCUCUCUCAUUUUCACCUCUUCUGAGGAGACGUAGCGGUCUCCUUGAGGACAGGACUUUUGUCUUUUUUCUACUUUAUAUAUCCCCUGUUUAAAACAGAGUGCCUGGCCCAUAGUCAGUGUUCCACAAAUAUUUAUGGCAUACAUGAACGGAUUUUGUGCUUCUCACAGAAUUUAGUACAGGGCUUUGCACUGAAACCAGCAUCUUAUAAUGGUAUGUUCCUUGGAAAUUUCUCUCUUUUUAUACAGUUUUCUUUUUUGCCACCAUCCUAAAACUAAUAUUAAUCUCUUAUUCUCUCUUUAGAAUGUGUCCUCAUUUCUUACUUGUUAUCAUUUUCUCCAGUGUAGGAAAUUCUGGCAAGACAGACUUUAGCAAUUUGGCCAGUUCUUGCUCUGGGAGGAAGCUACGGGGCAUGUCCCCUGAAUUCCUUCCAUUUGCUUAGUUCCUGAUUAGGUUUUACCAGUGAGAUAAAAGUCCUUUGUGAUUUAAUGUGAUAGUUAUGAAGAUUCACUAGGUCUGUCUAUGCCGCUGUCUGGUUUUUGUCAGCUAUAGGAGGUGACUGAGGAAUCCUCAAUUUGUAUAAGCCAUCUACUCAUUAGUGCUUGAGAUAUUAAAACAUUUAUUCAGAAGAAAAUACUAUAUAGCAUGUGUAAGUGUGUUAAGAUUAUCCUGCAGUUAACAUAUUUCUGACAAUGCUGAGAAAAGCAGUAGAAAUAGAAUACGCCUCCUUUUUUUUAAUAUAAUGAUUUUCAUUUUUUUCAUUAAAACUAGUUUACAGUGUUCUGUCAGUUUUCUACUGUACAACGUGGUGACCCAGUUUCACAUACAAAUAUACAUUCUUAAAUAUGCCUCCUUUUGAUUUUUCUUUGAAAUUUAGUGUUGGAGGAAAUUAGUCUGAUAAAUAUUUUACUGAUUCAGAACAGAUACGAUAAGGGGAUUAUCUUAAAGAAUAGGGACUUUCAGGGAGUGGGUAGGAAGAGGGAUCUAGAAUAUUUAAAAAAUUCUUUUUGUUGUUGGAGAAAUUUGUUUAAAAUAAGUGAUCUCAUGAGGGAAAUAAAAAGAUAAAAUAUAAAAAUGGUAGUGUUUUCCAGGGAUGUAGCUGCAAGAAGCAACUUGCUCCUGGUGAAGAUAGAUGUUUAUGGGCCAAUUGUCUGAAGUUUAUCAAAAAUGGUCUAAAGUUUAUCCUAAGCGGAUAGCUCACUCCCCUCCUUUUUCCCUGGCAAGAUGCCUCUUAGACUGAAAACCUCACAAUUUCCUUCCCUCACCAAGUGUUCAGAUUCUGUCUCCAUAUCAUCCCUAGUCUUUGUUUCCUCUUUUCCAUUCUUUAUGCCACUGCUGUCAUGAGCUUGUAUUUGAGCUGUUUCAAUAUUCUCCUAACUGGCUUUUUAUGACCCUGCUCUACCCACACCCAUGCCCUCAAUCCGCCCUGUGUGCUGCCACCAGAUUAAUGUGUCAACAAUGAUUAGUGGAAUUUGGGAGGCUUUAACUAUCUGGCUGGUGUUAAUUGUCCUACCCUGAAAUUUUUUUGCAACAUUUAAUCUUAUGUUCUCCUUCUUAUCCAUUUACAGCAUGUGUUUUCUGAUAGGUACAGCCUACCCAUGCUCAUAAAAGAUUAGUGUUUAUUAAUUAGUGAUAUAUUAAUAAAUAUUCUCUGGUUUUUUAAUGUCUAAUAUUUAGAAUGUCUAAUAUUCAGAAGUAUGUUUUCCUGCUUUCUUUCCUCCCUCUCUCCCUUCCUCCCUUUCUCCCUUUCUUUCUUCCUUUCAUUCAUUCUUUUUUUUUUUUUUUUAAAGCUAGAGCAUCACUUACUUAUAGGUAGCACUGUGCUAGAACACUGCCUAUGUGGUAGUCAAAUGGCACAGAGAGGGAGAGCAUGGGCUUUGCAGCUUGAUAGUCUAAGAUUGAAUUUUAUCAGCACUAUCUAAUGAUUUAUGACACUGGGUCUUCAGUUUCCACCUUUAUGAAAUGAGAAUAAUAACUCUGACCUCAUAAGAUUUUUGUGAUGCCAUGAUGAAUUUCCCAGCCUGAAGCUUCUCGCUCCCUGUAGCAAAUGGGAGUCGUUUCUGCCACUCCUGUCAGUCAGAGAAGAGAACUUGCCACGGUUUAGAGUAAAUAUGGUAAGAUGAUUUGAAAAAUAUCCCCUAUAUUUGCUUUUGCUUCAGGCCUUUAUCUAUAAUGGGGGAACAUGGGAAGGAAGACACUGCUUGAUGUUAUGAAACAUCUCUUUUUAAAAAGAGAAUGCCCUCCAAAGAGGUCUCCCCAUAGUUACAGAGGUAUAACGAAAGCAGACUUUAGUAAUGCCAGAGUGCAUAAUUUUGGGAGGGAACAUUAGAAUUUUGUCUUGAUCUUUUUCAAGUGGGGUGGGAGGGAGGAAGAGAGGAAGUGGUUUCUGUCCAGCAUGAUAAUAGGUGACUCCACUUUUCAACGCCCCUGAGUGCUGAGCUCUGGCUUUAUUAUGUUAAGGGACGCUCCAGGAGCCUUGGAUCAGCUGAGAGAAGAUUCUUUUCAAAUUUCCUCCUUGAUUCCUCACCCCUCCACCCCCGCCCCCAGGGCAGGGGACAGAGGGACAGGGAGUACACACGCAGUUUGCUGUAUGUUAUCAACCAUGACACAUAGGAAACUGCUUUAAACCGUUUUAAGUGUUCUAUUUCAUCACAUUGGGGUACUUUUUUUUUUUUUUUUUUGGUCUUUUUAGGGCUGCACCCUCCUUAUGUGGAAUUUCCCAGGCUAGGGGUCAAUCACAGCUACAGCGGCCAGCCUAUACCACAGCCACAACAAUGCCAGAUCCCAGGCGCCUCUGCUACCUACACUGCAGCUCACAGCAACGCUGGAUCGUUAACCCACUGAUCAAGGUCAGGAAUCCAGCCCCGACCCUCGUGGAUCCUAGUCGGGUUAGUUUCCGCUGAGCCAUGUUGGGAACUCUUAAGAUUAGAUUAUUUUGAAAUAAUAAAAUGAAUGACUCCAAUACUUUCCCCCCCCACCCAUUGUGAGCAGGCCUUUCUUCUUUUUGGGGGGUCCCUAAGGAGACUUUCUCAACCAGAAGGGUCAGGUCUGAAGUAAAGACACCUGGUAAGUCUGCCCGAUUUCCCAAGGCAUCAUCCUGGUUAACGAGUUUCCCCAAGUGGUCUAUCCUUUCAGUGUGUCAGCCUAAAUAAAGACGAAAACUGAGGCAAGCUCACAUCACCAGAAGCUGAAUUUAUUCAGGAAUAGCCGAGGAAUUGCAACUGGAGAAACACAUGCUACAGCAAGUGACAGUACAGUGAGGGUUUAGAGCUGGCUGUUAUUUACUGGCAAAGAACCAGAGUCCGACCAGGGAGUUCGCUGGCUUGAGAAGGGGAGAGAACCUUGCGGAGGCUCCUUGGUCAGCUGAUGUCUCCGUCUUGGUGUAAAUUGGGAGGUGAUGGGAGAUCAGUCUCAGCUGGGAAGGUCCGUCCUUCCGCGGGCGCAUGCGUGAGAGCCGCCAUGUCCUCGGUUCUGGGACAUUUUUCGAUGCACACCCGUUUACAAGUGCGGUCCGUGUCCUCCAGGUGGUCAAGGUCAGUGCCCACCACUGAUGUGGGAGCAGUUUCUGCAGGUGAAGAAAGAAGCCCGGCGGGUGUCUGCUUGGCCGUCUUCACCCGCGCUCAGGUAGGCCGGCUCCCGGGGAAGGCGCUUCUUUAGGGACCGACCUCUCUCCUCUCACAUAUAGUCAGUUGUCGUUAUUCAUGGUUUCUGUGUUUACAAAUUCAUCUCCCCGGUAAAAUUUAUCUGUCGCCCCCAUUCCCAGACAUGCGCAAAAGUCACGCAGUUUGAGUCACUGACAGGUGCGUUCCCAGCUGCGCAGAACAAAGUGGCUAGUGCCUAUGUCAGCAGUCACUGUCAGCAAGUGUCUUUUUCGGGGUAUUGAGCGCCCGGUUUAUCACGUCUCUGCUUUUCAGGGUAUUUAGCGCCCGGUUUAUCACUUCGCUGCUUUUGGGAGGGGUGAUUGAGCCUCUGAACGUGGUCCCCAGGUGAGAGCUGCUGGGCUGUGUUGUGUCCAUAGGUGUAGGUCUGAGAAGGCUGCGAUGGGCUUUUCCGGGAAGAGACAUGUGGUGAUACACUGGGUUCAAGAUGGCUUAGAGCUGUGGGACCCGUUCACUUAUUCGCGAAUCGGAGGCCGACCUUGAGUAGGGCAUCUCUGUGCAGAAGCACACAUAAAGCAAGGCCAUGUAGUGAUGGGUUGAUGAACAUGUUGUGACCAGAGGGUUGAGGGAAUCCGACCCUGUAGCUCCCUGGGAGCGGUGGCUCUGUUCUGUCAGGAAUGUCAUUUUUCAGGGCAACUUCAUCAGACAAAACCACCCUUAGUAGUGAGAAUCCACGGUCUACACAGCUAUUUCCCUAAAAUGUGCCGAUGAGGCCAGGAAGAUGCUUUGGAAAUUGUCCUCUGUAAGACCUUGUGGAAGGACCAGAUUCUCCCAGUUUCCAAAGGGUCAACCCUGGCCCUCUUGCUGUUCUCCAUGGGGCUGGAAAACACAUGGGGGCUGUGGCUUCCUUGUCACUGCCACUGUCUGGGCUUGGGUUGUGGGGGUGUGGCCCAGAGUGGAACAGAAAGCUGGAAAUGUGACAGUGCUACUCAUCCCACACAUGCCUCUCGGCACAGCCUUCCACCAGCCCCAUGCGUGUUGUCUCUCCUUUGAAACCAGCUGUGGGGAAAAUUCCUCAUUCUUGCCUCAGCCUGAAUUGUAGUGAGAAUAUAUACUGUCUUGCUCUCAUUCCCUCAACAUGUAAAUCAAAAAAUAAGGCAAUCAGAUGCUCAUCCAUUUUGCAAGACCUGAGCUAUCCAUCUGUAGCCAAGGUCACCCUGGCAGAGAAUAAGGUAAACACCGAAAACAGUUUUCCAUCAGUCCUGUUUCUGUCAUUUCUAGAAUAAAACCUGUGGCUUCAGUGGAGAGUGAGGAGUAAAUCACUGUGCGCAGUCAAGUCAGGUUUGAGCUGGGCUGGAGAUUGACUUCAUGUUUAAUCAAAAUUGUAUUGGAUUUUGUUGUUGAAUCUUGGCUUUUCAUGAGGAAUUCAAAAAGGGCAAUGUUUUCCUAAAUUUGGCAUUCUCUUGAUACAGUAAAAGAUUUCUCACAUGCAUAAGAUUUCUCACAUGUGGAGUUCCCGCCGUGGCUCAGUGGUUAACGAAUCCGACUAGGAAUCAUGAGGUUGCGGGUUUGAUCCCUGGCCUCGCUCAGUGGGUUGAGGGUCUGGUGUUGCCCUAGGCUGUGGUGUAGGUCACAGAUGCAGCUCGGAUCCCUUGUUGCUGUGACUGUGGUGUAGGCUGGUGGCUACAGGUCCAUUUAGACCCCUAGUCUGGGAACCUUCAUAUGCUGUGGGUGUGGCCCUACAAAGACAAAAAGACCAAAAAAAAAAAAAGAUUUCUCACAUGUAUUGAAUAGCUAAGUUAUUACUAUCCCUGAGAAUUUCUAUAUGUGGGAUUUUAUAAUUUGUACCCUACCUCUUUUUCACUUUUAUUCGGCUUUACUUUCUUUUUUCUGGAAUGUAUUUUUAAAAAAAUGGUUUGUGGAGUUCCUGUUGUGGCUCAGUGGGUUACGAAAUGCAUAUAGUGUCCAUGAGGAUGCACUUUCAAUCCCUGGCCUCAUUCAGUGGGUUAAGAAUUUGGUGUUGCAGCAAGAGCUGCACCAUAGGCCCCAGAUGCGGCUCCGAUAUGGUAUAGCCAUGUCUGUGGCACAGGCAGGCAGUUGCAGCUCUAAUUUGACCCCUAGCCUGAAAACUUCCAUAUGCCACAGGUGAGGCUGUUAAAAAAAAGAAUAAAAAGGGAUUCCCAUCGUGGCGCAGCAGAAACAAAUCCGACUAGGAAUCAUGAGGUUGUGGGUUCAAUCCCUGGCCUCAUUCAGUAGGUUAGGGAUCCAUUGUUGUCUUGAGCUAUGGUGUAGGUGGCAGACAUGGCUUGGAUCUGAUGUUGUUGUGGCUGUGGUAUAGGCCAGCAGCUAUAGCCCUAAUUCGACCCCUAGCCUGGGAACCUCCAUAUGCCACAGUGGUGGCCCUAAAAACAAAAAAACCAACAAAGGUUCGUGGCAGAAUAAUGACAAUUUUAAAACAUAAACAAAAAUAUCUUUAAAGCCUAAUUUUUUAAAAUUAUUAUUAUUAUUUUUUUUAGGUUCAGAUGUGGGGCAUAUGGAAGUUUCCAGGCUAGGGGUCAAAUCAAAGCUGCACCUGCCAGCCUACACCACAGCCACAGCUACGCAGGAUCCUUAACUCCCUGAGGGAGGCCAGGGAUUGAACUCUCAGUCCUCAUGGAUACUGGUCGAGUUUGUUACCACUAAGCCAAAACAGGAACUCCUAAAACUUAACAUUUUGGCAGAAAUUGCAUGUACUUACAGAUGUGAAAAUUGUUCAGGGCAAACAAAUCUUGCUUGAUUGGACAAAUCUUUUCUUGCCUUGGUUUCUCUUUUCUACAUCAGUUAUAACACUUUUGUAUAAUCAGUUAUUAUUUUCAAAUAUAUUAAUUUAGCGUAUGUUGAUUAGACAUAAUAGUGUCUACGCCUUUCUUUUCUGGUGCUACCUGAUGCUGUCUCCCAGUUUUAAGGGUUGUUAUAAUCUGUUUUUCUUUCAUCAUAUUUCUCUUUUCUGUUCUUUCAUCAUCCUAUGCAAUGACAAAAACAACUAUGAGACAUCAAAAUGCUUUUAGAGAAACCCCUGUGUACCCCCCCAAAUACAAAUAUGAAUAGGAUGAAACAAUAGCAGUUUCAAGAUAUGCCUAUUGUUUCAAGGUGCUAUUGAAACAAUAGGGGUAUCUUGGAAAUAGCAGCAAGACAUUCUGUUCUAAGCAUUGGUAAUGUUACUUUGAAAGAUGAAUUAUGAUAUCUUCUGUGAUAGAAUGAGGACUCUGUACUCCGCAUUCAGUAAUUCUGUUAUCUUUCAUUAUUAAAAAGAAGAAAUAAUUCCUUAUUGUCCAGUGGUGUGAUGUAAGAAAUAUGCAGCUACAAGCUUGUAGAGCAUGGUACUAUUUACAUGAGGAUUAUUUUUCCACUGGGUUGAGAAUCAGACAGUUACAAUUUGAGAAAAGCACUAGAGGGAGCCAGACACCUUUCUGAUAAAUUCUUCUUUGUCCUGGAGCUGGAGCAUAACUCCAGCCCACAUUUGGAUCAGCUUGAAAACUAGUGAAUUUAGUGUUCAUCUCAGUCCAAAGACAGUAGUACAUGUAUAUUUGAAAUUUAAAAAUCACAGAUUUUAGAGAGCAAACUUUUACACAUUAAAAGGGACUUGAGACCUAUUCUCUAAAUACAAUCUAUGGACCUUGUUUGGAUCCUGAUUCAAAGAAACCAACCUAAAAAGAUGUUUCUGGGAAUUCUCCUUUGGUGCAGUGGGUUAAGUAUCUGGCAUUGUCCCUGCAGCAGCUUGAGUCUUUGCUGCGGCAUGGGUUGGAUUCCUCGCCUGGGAAUUUACACAUGCUGAGGGAGUGGCAAAAAAAAAAAAAGAAAAAAAGAAAAA